GUUCCAACCAGGAAGGCAUCCAGCAGGUUUCCAACCUGCUGACGCCGCUGGGCGUUUCCGUCUACGGCUUUGAUCU
Molecule: transfer RNA, 76 nt
Filed under: Mesorhizobium sp. 113-3-3
Lineage: Bacteria; Pseudomonadati; Pseudomonadota; Alphaproteobacteria; Hyphomicrobiales; Phyllobacteriaceae
Description: tRNA-Gly
Source: RNAcentral